This 434-nucleotide ribosomal RNA is filed under the name uncultured bacterium. RNAcentral describes it as "bacterial SSU rRNA". It matches the Rfam family "Bacterial small subunit ribosomal RNA", at positions 35 to 507 of the family's 1533-position model. The record is from RNAcentral.
AACGAACGGCUGGCGGCAGGCCUAACACAUGCAAGUCGAGCGAGACCUUCGGGUCUAGCGGCGGACGGGUGAGUAACGCGUGGGAAUAUGCCCUUCGGUUCGGAAUAGCCCCGGGAAACUGGGAGUAAUACCGGAUACGGUCUACGGACGAAAGAUUUAUCGCCGAAGGAUUAGCCCGCGUUGGAUUAGGUAGUUGGUGGGGUAAUGGCCUACCAAGCCGACGAUCCAUAGCUGGUUUGAGAGGAUGAUCAGCCACACUGGGACUGAGACACGGCCCAGACUCCUACGGGAGGCAGCAGUGGGGAAUCUUAGACAAUGGGGGAAACCCUGAUCUAGCCAUGCCGCGUGAGCGAUGAAGGCCUUAGGGUUGUAAAGCUCUUUCAGUGGGGAAGAUAAUGACUGUACCCGCAGAAGAAGCCCCGGCUAACUCCGUG